RNAcentral lists this transfer RNA (71 nucleotides) under Capra hircus (goat). It matches the Rfam family "tRNA". Rfam says of the family: Transfer RNA (tRNA) molecules are approximately 80 nucleotides in length. Their secondary structure includes four short double-helical elements and three loops (D, anti-codon, and T loops). Lineage: Eukaryota; Metazoa; Chordata; Mammalia; Artiodactyla; Bovidae. The record is from Rfam by way of RNAcentral. RNAcentral also lists the same sequence under 1 other name.
ACCCAGGUGGCUCAGCAGUAAAGAAUCUGCCUGCAAUGCAGGAGACGCAGGUUCAAUCCCUGCGUUGGGAA